Molecule: ribosomal RNA, 480 nt
Filed under: uncultured bacterium
Lineage: Bacteria
Description: bacterial SSU rRNA
Rfam family: Bacterial small subunit ribosomal RNA
Source: RNAcentral
UUGAACGCUGGCGGAAUGCUUUACACAUGCAAGUCGAGCGGCAGCGCGGGGCAACCUGGCGGCGAGCGGCGAACGGGUGAGUAACAUAUCGGAACGUACCCUAUCGUGGGGGAUAACACAUCGAAAGAUGUGCUAAUACCGCAUACGCCCUGAGGGGGAAAGUGGGGGAUCGCAAGACCUCACGUUAUUCGAGCGGCCGACGUCUGAUUAGCUAGUUGGUGGGGUAAAGGCUCACCAAGGCGACGAUCAGUAGCGGGUCUGAGAGGAUGAUCCGUCACACUGGAACUGAGACACGGUCCAGACUCCUACGGGAGGCAGCAGUGGGGAAUUUUGGACAAUGGGCGAAAGCCUGAUCCAGCCAUGCCGCGUGCAGGAUGAAGGCCUUCGGGUUGUAAACUGCUUUUGUACGGAACGAAAAGACUCCUUCUAAUAAAGGGGGCUCAUGACGGUACUGUAAGAAUAAGCACCGGCUAACUACGU